Molecule: ribosomal RNA, 302 nt
Filed under: uncultured bacterium
Lineage: Bacteria
Description: bacterial SSU rRNA
Rfam family: Bacterial small subunit ribosomal RNA
Source: RNAcentral
GAUGAACGCUGGCGGCGUGCCUAAUACAUGCAAGUCGAACGCGAGCAGCAAUGCUCGAGUGGCGAACGGGUGAGUAAUACAUAAGUAACCUGCCCUAGACAGGGGGAUAACUGCUGGAAACGGCAGCUAAGACCGCAUAGGUAUGGACACUGCAUGGUGACCAUAUUAAAAGUGCCAAGGCACUGGUAGAGGAUGGACUUAUGGCGCAUUAGCUGGUUGGUGAGGUAACGGCUCACCAAGGCGACGAUGCGUAGCCGACCUGAGAGGGUGACCGGCCACAUUGGGACUGAGACACGGCCCAA